AUGGCGGGGCUGUCCCUGCGGUGCGGCGACUGCGGCGUGCAGCUGAGGAGCGUGGAGGAGGCGCAGGCGCACGCCGAGGCCACCUCCCACACCAACUUCGCCGAGUCCACCGAGGCCGUCCUCAACCUCGUCUGCGCCGACUGCGGAAAGCCAUGCCGCUCCCAGACCGAGGUGGACCUGCACAGGAAGCGCACGGGCCACGCCGAGUUCACGGACAAGACCAUGGAGGCGGCCAAGCCCAUCGAUCUCGAGGCGCCGCCGAAGCCGGCCUUGGAGGCCAUGGAUGUGGACGCGUCGGGGAGUGCGGAGCCGCAAGAGUUGGUGGCGCCAGAGGUGAACAAGGAGAUGCUUGGGGAACUCGAAUCCAUGGGCUUUUCGACUGCGCGUGCCACUAGGGCACUUCACUUCUCCGGUAAUAGCACCAUUGAAGGCGCCAUUAAUUGGCUCUCUGAGCAUCAGGAGGAUCCAGAUAUUGAUGAAAUGCCUAUGGUGCCGGCCAACACCGAGGCUAACAAGCCCUCUCUAACUGAGGAAGAGAAGAAGAUUAAGGCACAAGAGCUGAGGGAGCGUGCUCGUAAAAAGAAAGAAGAAGAAGAAAAAAGGAUGGAGAGAGAAAGGGAAAAGGAGCGCAUAAGGAUUGGUAAGGAGCUUCUUGAAGCCAAAAAAAUGGAGGAGUUAAAUGAAAGGAAACGCAUUAUAGAAUUGAGAAGGCUUGAGAAAGAGGAGGAGAAGAGAGCCAGAGAAAAGAUUCGCCAAAAACUUGAAGAGGACAAGGCUGAACGUAGAAGAAAACUUGGAUUGCCGGCAGAAGCCCCAGCUGCAUCCAAGCCAAGUGCACCACCGCCUGUUGAAGAGAAGAAGAGUGCAUUUUUACCUGUCAGACCAGCCACAAAGGCAGAGCGGAUGAGGGAUUGCUUACGAAAUAUCAAGCAGCAGAACAAGGAGGAGGACGCUAAAGUAAAGAGGGCUUUUCAGACGCUCCUCACCUACAUCGGAAACGUGGUUAAAAAUCCCGACGAGGAGAAAUUCAGGAAGAUCAGACUUACCAAUGCUACAUUCCAGGAGAGAGUUGGGAGCCUUGGGGGCAUAGAGUUCCUCGUGCUGUGCGGGUUUGAGAAACCGGAAGGCGAGGAGAUCUUGUUUCUGGCAAGGGACAAGGUUGACAAGGCCGUCCUGAAUGUCGCUGGAGCCGAGCUCAAUUCCGCCAUCACCAACCCUUUCUUUGGAGUCCUCUAA
RNAcentral lists this ribosomal RNA (1236 nucleotides) under Triticum aestivum (bread wheat). RNAcentral describes it as "partial small subunit ribosomal RNA". Lineage: Eukaryota; Viridiplantae; Streptophyta; Magnoliopsida; Poales; Poaceae. The record is from RNAcentral.